UGCAGUCGAGGGGUAACAGGAGUAGCUUGCUAUUUGCUGACGACCGGCGCACGGGUGCGUAACGCGUAUAGAAUCUACCUUAUACUGGGGGAUAGCCUUUGGAAACGAAGAUUAAUACCCCAUAGUAUUAUUUUUUGGCAUCAUUAAAUAAUUAAAGUUUCGGCGGUAUAAGAUGACUAUGCGUUCUAUUAGUUAGUUGGUAAGGUAACGGCUUACCAAGACUUCGAUAGAUAGGGGUCCUGAGAGGGAGAUCCCCCACACUGGUACUGAGACACGGACCAGACUCCUACGGGAGGCAGCAGUGAGGAAUAUUGGACAAUGGAGGCAACUCUGAUCCAGCCAUGCCGCGNGUAGGAAGACUGCCCUAUGGGUUGUAAACUACUUUUAUAUGGGAAGAAUAAGAUCUACGUGUAGAUUGAUGACGGUACCAUAAGAAUAAGCACCGGCUAACUCCGUGCCAGCAGCCGCGGUAAUACGGAGGGUGCAAGCGUUAUCCGGAAUCAUUGGGUUUAAAGGGUCCGUAGGCGGGCAUAUAAGUCAGUGGUGAAAGUCUGUGGCUUAACCAUAGAAUUGCCAUUGAUACUGUAUGUCUUGAAUUAUUGUGAAGUGGUUAGAAUAUGUAGUGUAGCGGUGAAAUGCUUAGAGAUUACAUAGAAUACCGAUUGCGAAGGCAGAUCACUAACAAUAUAUUGACGCUGAUGGACGAAAGCGUAGGUAGCGAACAGGAUUAGAUACCCUGGUAGUCUACGCCGUAAACGAUGGAUACUAGUUGUUUGGUUUUCGGACUGAGUGACUAAGCGAAAGUGAUAAGUAUCCCACCUGGGGAGUACGUUCGCAAGAAUGAAACUCAAAGGAAUUGACGGGGGCCCGCACNNGCGGUGGAGCAUGUGGUUUAAUUCGAUGAUACGCGAGGAACCUUACCAGGGCUUAAAUGUAGUCUGACAGCUUUAGAGAUAGAGUUUUCUUCGGACAGAUUACAAGGUGCUGCAUGGUUGUCGUCAGCUCGUGCCGUGAGGUGUCAGGUUAAGUCCUAUAACGAGCGCAACCCCUGUGGUUAGUUGCCAGCGAGUAAUGUCGGGAACUCUAGCCAGANNCCGGUGCAAACCGUGAGGAAGGUGGGGAUGACGUCAAAUCAUCACGGCCCUUACGUCCUGGGCCACACACGUGCUACAAUGGUAGGGACAGAGAGCAGCCACUUAGCGAUAAGGAGCGAAUCUAUAAACCCUAUCUCAGUUCGGAUUGGAGUCUGCAACUCGACUCCAUGAAGCUGGAAUCGCUAGUAAUCGGAUAUCAGCCAUGAUCCGGUGAAUACGUUCCCGGGCCUUGUACACACCGCCCGUCAAGCCAUGGAAGCUGGGGGUAC
RNAcentral lists this ribosomal RNA (1363 nucleotides) under Dokdonia genika. RNAcentral's name for it is "bacterial SSU rRNA". It matches the Rfam family "Bacterial small subunit ribosomal RNA", at positions 56 to 1420 of the family's 1533-position model. Lineage: Bacteria; Pseudomonadati; Bacteroidota; Flavobacteriia; Flavobacteriales; Flavobacteriaceae. The record is from RNAcentral.